This 538-nucleotide unclassified non-coding RNA is filed under the name uncultured fungus. Its description in RNAcentral is "sequence contains 18S rRNA gene, ITS1, 5.8S rRNA gene, ITS2, 28S rRNA gene". The record is from RNAcentral. Lineage: Eukaryota; Fungi.
AUAUCACGCAGGCGACAUCGCCACUCGGCCUCUAUUACGCGCCGGACCCCUCGAGCCAGAUGGCCUGCAGCAUCGGCGGCAAUGUUGCCGAAAACUCCGGCGGGCCGCAUUGCCUGAAGUACGGCAUGACGACGAAUCACAUCCUGGAAAUCGAAGCCGUUCUAUCCGAUGGCGAGAUCGUACGUUUGGGUAAUCCCGCAGGAGAGGCGGUCGGGCUCGACCUGGUUGGAGUCAUCGUGGGCUCCGAAGGGACGUUCGCCAUCGUCACCGAAAUCACGAUUCGAUUGUUGCCGAAGCCCCAGGGCGUGAAGACUCUGCUGGCGGCAUUCAAUUCCGUGGAAGACUGCAGUCAGGCUGUUUCGGAUGUGAUCGCCGCUGGAAUCAUGCCCGCAGCUCUCGAGUUCAUGGACGACAAGACGAUCCACGCCGUCGAGGCGUCCGUCUACAAGGCAGGAUAUCCGCUGGAUGCGCGGGCUGUCCUCCUUAUCGAAGUUGAUGGCUUCCGUGAGGGCCUUGAAGAAACGUCAGACGCGAUCGU